This 253-nucleotide ribosomal RNA is filed under the name uncultured prokaryote. RNAcentral describes it as "partial 16S ribosomal RNA". It matches the Rfam family "Bacterial small subunit ribosomal RNA", at positions 524 to 776 of the family's 1533-position model. The record is from RNAcentral.
UACGGAGGGUGCGAGCGUUGUCCGGAAUCAUUGGGCGUAAAGGGCGCGUAGGUGGCGCGGCAAGCGUGCGGUGAAAGCCUGGGGCUCAACCCCGGGUCGGCCGUGCGAACUGCCGGGCUUGAGCACUGUAGAGGCAGGCGGAAUUCCGGGUGUAGCGGUGGAAUGCGUAGAGAUCCGGAAGAACACCGGUGGCGAAGGCGGCCUGCUGGGCAGUUGCUGACACUGAGGCGCGACAGCGUGGGGAGCAAACAGG